GUCUUCUUGUUUUAUUUAGGAAGUCUGACCUGCCCAGUGAUUUAUUUUUAACGGCCGCGGUAUAUUGACCGUGCAAAGGUAGCAUAAUCAUUAGUCUUUUAAUAGGGGGCUGGAAUGAAAGGUUUUACGAGGCAUGGACUGUCUCACUUUAAUAAAUUAAAAUUUAACUUUUAAGUUAAAAGGCUUAAAUAGAUUUGGCGGACGAGAAGACCCUAUAGAGCUUCACAUUUAUUUGUUUUAGUAUGUUUUAGUGUAUAAUUAUAGACUAUGAUAUUAAGUGUUUUGUUGGGGUGACAAGAAAUAUAUGCUUAACUUUUAUUAUUUUCUAUCAUUAAUUUAUGUUUAUUUGAUCCAUUAUUAUUGAUUAUUAGAUCAAGUUACCUUAGGGAUAACAGCGUAAUCUUUCUUCAGAGUUCAAAUUUACAGAAAGGCUUGCGACCUCGAUGUUGGAUUAAGAUUAUUUUUGGGUGCAGUAGCUCAAUUAAUAGGUCUGUUCGACCUUUAAAUUCUUACAUGAUCUGAGUUCAGACCGG
Molecule: ribosomal RNA, 533 nt
Filed under: Leptocnemis cyanops
Lineage: Eukaryota; Metazoa; Arthropoda; Insecta; Odonata; Coenagrionidae
Description: partial 16S ribosomal RNA
Rfam family: Bacterial large subunit ribosomal RNA
Source: RNAcentral